AGGGGCGUAGCUCAACCUGGUAGAGCGCUGGUCUCCAAAACCAGUGGUUGUCGGUUCAAAUCCGGCCGCCCCUGCCA
Molecule: transfer RNA, 77 nt
Filed under: Bacillota bacterium
Lineage: Bacteria; Bacillati; Bacillota
Also listed under: 2 other names
Description: Firmicutes bacterium (sediment metagenome) tRNA-Trp
Rfam family: tRNA
About the family: Transfer RNA (tRNA) molecules are approximately 80 nucleotides in length. Their secondary structure includes four short double-helical elements and three loops (D, anti-codon, and T loops). Further hydrogen bonds mediate the characteristic L-shaped molecular structure. tRNAs have two regions of fundamental functional importance: the anti-codon, which is responsible for specific mRNA codon recognition, and the 3' end, to which the tRNAs corresponding amino acid is attached (by aminoacyl-tRNA synthetases). tRNAs cope with the degeneracy of the genetic code in two manners: having more than one tRNA (with a specific anti-codon) for a particular amino acid; and 'wobble' base-pairing, i.e. permitting non-standard base-pairing at the 3rd anti-codon position.
Source: RNAcentral